CUUUGAGCCGCCGAUCCGCAGCCGUUGCUUCGUCUCCAGCCACCAGCUCUUCUGCUGUCUUCUGCUAGUGCCGGACUUCGACGAGUAACGAACUCAGCGAAAUGGUUGCUCGGGUGCUCCUUUUGGCCUUUAUGCUGUUUGCCGUGGCCCAAGCAAUUUCCAUCUACGAUAACGUUUACGAAGAUGAACCAAUCUCUGGUGGGCGCCAGCUGACGGGAGGCGUCCAAGCCGUCGCUCAGCCCGAGUCGUUCGCACUCGGAAGUCGCUACGGCAAGAGAAACGGGAACGCAGACGAUGGAACCGUGAACGUUGCCACCAGAGAUGCAGACAACUCUGACAGCGAGGACCGUCAGUCGGUGGCAACUUACGUCGUCUUUCUUGACAACUGUUUGUGUUCCUGCGCGGUGUGGGUACAUUCGCCCUAGCUGGGAAUGCCAGAGGGGCAACCCAAACGGCGCGCAGGCCGAGGAACGCCGAGACAAGAGGCACGCGACCUGCCGCCUUUUCGGGGAUUAGUGUAAGCAAGAAGCCAUCUGGUGGUCUAAACUAGGACAGUCACUGCACCAAGAAACGUAUUUGCACCAUAUUUACUCACUAUCUAUGUACAAUGUAAUCUGAAAUAAUUCACAAAUGCACAAAUAAAUUAAAGAAUCAAAAC
Schistocerca nitens (vagrant locust) is the source of this 658-nucleotide RNA transcript. RefSeq lists it as uncharacterized. The record is from RefSeq and is a predicted model, not a curated record. NCBI's taxonomy places the organism in Eukaryota, Metazoa, Arthropoda, Insecta, Orthoptera, Acrididae. The transcript has 6 exons.